RNAcentral lists this ribosomal RNA (311 nucleotides) under uncultured bacterium. RNAcentral describes it as "bacterial SSU rRNA". It matches the Rfam family "Bacterial small subunit ribosomal RNA", at positions 28 to 334 of the family's 1533-position model. The record is from RNAcentral.
GAUGAACGCUAGCGGCAGGCUUAACACAUGCAAGUCGAACGGUAACAGGAAUUGCUUGCAAUUCGCUGACGAGUGGCGCACGGGUGCGUAACGCGUAUACAACUUGCCUUUUACAAAGGGAUAGCCCAUGGAAACGUGGAUUAAUACCUUAUAAUAUCAUUUAUUGGCAUCAAUGAAUGAUCAAAGAUUUAUCGGUAAAAGAGAGGUAUGCGUGACAUUAGCUAGUUGGUGAGGUAACGGCCCACCAAGGCUACGAUGUCUAGGGGUUCUGAGAGGAUGAUCCCCCACACUGGUACUGAGACACGGACCAG